GAUCCUGGCUCAGGACGAACGCUGGCGGCGCGCCUAACACAUGCAAGUCGAACGGAGCUAUGUUGAAAGCUUGCUGGAUAUAUAGCUUAGUGGCGGACGGGUGAGUAACACGUGAGCAACCUGCCUUUCAGAGUGGAAUAACGUUUGGAAACGAACGCUAAUACCGCAUAAUGUCAGAGGACGGCAUCAUUCUUUGACCAAAGAUUUAUCGCUGAAAGAUGGGCUCGCGGCCGA
Molecule: ribosomal RNA, 234 nt
Filed under: uncultured bacterium
Lineage: Bacteria
Description: partial 16S ribosomal RNA
Rfam family: Bacterial small subunit ribosomal RNA
Source: RNAcentral